CUAUUGAGCUUCUGUCAAUUAUUUCUCAGGUGUAUAGGACAUGAAACAGUACACAUCUGGUCCUAAAAUAUGAAUGUGAAGUGGAUAUUUUGUGAAAAAGGAAUGAUUUAUUGCAUCUAUGUGGCUUAUGAUCUGGAAAGCACAAAUAACUACUUUCCAAAAUAAAAGUGACAUGGGGUUCAACCAUUGAUACAAGAAAAAAAGUACCAGAGGCUCCAGGUGGAAAUACUUACUACCUUAAAAAUAAUUAUUAUCACCUAAAUCCUGCCCUGGCAGGGCUAUAUCUGUGUGUUAAAGUGAAGCAGCAGCAUAUUUCCUUUGGUAGAGGUCAAGAAACUCAAGGAAAUGAAUAGCUGGUCCUGACCUAGGGUUGCCUGUUAACUCAGCAGGAGGAAAAGUAAAAGCCUUUCUUGAAGGUAAAAAUAUAGCUUUAUUUUUAUCAUUCCUUGUUGUAAAUGGUUCAUAUAAGCUAUUUUGACAUCCUGACAUCUGACACACUGUCUUGCCUUGACUUUUAAUAAUCACAUAUGCUCUAACUCUAUAUUGCUUGACUUCUAAAUCUCAGUUCUUAGUCACUUAUUUCUGAGUAUUCUUUGUUUCUAGCCCACUUACGUGCUUGCUUCUUUCUUCACAAGAUUGCCUUUGUUCAUUUGAUCCUGUAUCUCUAUCCUUUUCCUGAAAAACAGUGGUUAUCAUCAUCAUUUCCUGUGGCUAUUCAAGUUUUCACAACCACUUCAUUGCCCAGAGAACUGUAGCAUCAUAGAAGCAUAGGUAUACAACUGGAU
Molecule: long non-coding RNA, 785 nt
Filed under: Monodelphis domestica (gray short-tailed opossum)
Lineage: Eukaryota; Metazoa; Chordata; Mammalia; Didelphimorphia; Didelphidae
Description: lncRNA (ENSMODG00000046461.1)
Source: RNAcentral